CGGCGGUACGGAGGGCUGCCGGGGCCCGUUGUCAGUGGGCCCCGGUAGGUUCCGUAUCCGGAACUGCCGA
Molecule: transfer RNA, 70 nt
Filed under: Streptomyces hydrogenans
Lineage: Bacteria; Bacillati; Actinomycetota; Actinomycetes; Kitasatosporales; Streptomycetaceae
Also listed under: 1 other name
Description: tRNA-Asp
Source: RNAcentral